RNAcentral lists this ribosomal RNA (573 nucleotides) under Cystobasidium laryngis. Its description in RNAcentral is "partial large subunit ribosomal RNA". It matches the Rfam family "Eukaryotic large subunit ribosomal RNA", at positions 47 to 624 of the family's 3401-position model. Lineage: Eukaryota; Fungi; Basidiomycota; Cystobasidiomycetes; Cystobasidiales; Cystobasidiaceae. The record is from RNAcentral.
UAAGCGGAGGAAAAGAAACUAACAAGGAUUCCCCUAGUAACGGCGAGUGAAGUGGGAAAAGCUCAACUUUGAAAUCUGGUACUUUCAGUAUCCGAAUUGUAGUCUCAAGAAGUGUUUUCUGUGCCGGUCCAUGUAUGAGUCUGUUGGAACACAGCGUCAUAGAGGGUGACAACCCCGUUCAUGACAUGGAUCCCGGUGCUUUGUGAUACACUCUCGAAGAGUCGAGUUGUUUGGGAAUGCAGCUCAAAUUGGGUGGUAAAUUCCAUCUAAAGCUAAAUAUUGGCGAGAGACCGAUAGCAAACAAGUACCGUGAGGGAAAGAUGAAAAGCACUUUGGAAAGAGAGUUAACAGUACGUGAAAUUGUUGAAAGGGAAACGAUUGAAGUCAGACGUGCGUGAUGCGGUUCAGCUUUAGUUCGCUAGAGUGUACUCCGUAUCUUUGCAGGCCAACAUCGGUUUUGUUAGUCGGAUAAAGGUUUGAGAAAUGUGGCACCUUCGGGUGUGUUAUAGUCUCAGACUGAAUACGAUUGAUGGGACCGAGGAACGCAGCGCGCCGCAAGGCAAAGGUUCCGAC